GAGUUUGAUCGUGGCUCAGGAUGAACGCUGGCGGCGUGCCUAACACAUGCAAGUCGAACGAAGCGAUUUUGCGGAAGUUUUCGGAUGGAAGCGGAAUUGACUGAGUGGCGGACGGGUGAGUAACGCGUGGAUAACCUGCCUCAUACAGGGGGAUAACAGUUAGAAAUGACUGCUAAUACCGCAUAAGCGCACGGGAACGCAUGUUUCGUGUGAAAAAGCCGAGACGGGUAUGAGAUGGGGUCCGCGUCUGAUUAGCUAGUUGGUGAGGUAACGGCCCACCAAGGCGACGAUCAGUAGCCGACCUGAGAGGGUGACCGGCCACAUU
RNAcentral lists this ribosomal RNA (325 nucleotides) under uncultured bacterium. Its description in RNAcentral is "bacterial SSU rRNA". It matches the Rfam family "Bacterial small subunit ribosomal RNA", at positions 9 to 314 of the family's 1533-position model. The record is from RNAcentral.